Molecule: ribosomal RNA, 418 nt
Filed under: bacterium enrichment culture clone ALO1_GLFRUDD03GUJNZ
Lineage: Bacteria
Description: bacterial SSU rRNA
Rfam family: Bacterial small subunit ribosomal RNA
Source: RNAcentral
GAGUUUGAUCGUGGCUCAGAUUGAAUGCUGGCGGCAUGCCUUACACAUGCAAGUCGAACGGCAGCACGGGAGCUUGCUCCUGGUGGCGAGUGGCGAACGGGUGAGUAAUGCAUCGGAACGUAUCCUGGAGUGGGGGAUAACGUAGCGAAAGUUACGCUAAUACCGCAUAUUCUGUGAGCAGGAAAGCGGGGGACCUUCGGGCCUCGCGCUCUUGGAGCGGCCGAUGUCGGAUUAGCUAGUUGGUGAGGUAAAGGCUCACCAAGGCGACGAUCCGUAGCAGGUCUGAGAGGAUGAUCUGCCACACUGGAACUGAGACACGGUCCAGACUCCUACGGGAGGCAGCAGUGGGGAAUUUUGGAUAAUGGGGGCAACCCUGAUCCAGCCAUGCCGCGUGAGUGAAGAAGGCCUCGGUUGUAAG